GAUGAACGCUGGCGGCGUGCUUAACACAUGCAAGUCGAACGAGAAGUGAAGACGGAAACCUUCGGGCGGAAGGCUUUAUUUCGAGUGGCGGACGGGUGAGUAACGCGUGGGUAACCUGCCUCAUACAGGGGGAUAACAGUUGGAAACGACUGUUAAUACCGCAUAAGACCACAGCACCGCAUGGUGCGGGGGUAAAAACUCCGGUGGUAUGAGAUGGACCCGCGUUCGAUUAGCCAGUUGGCGGGGUAACGGCCCACCAAAGCGACGAUCGAUAGCCGAUCUGAGAGGAUGACCGGCCACAUUGGGACUGAGACACGGCCCAAACUCCUACGGGAGGCAGCAGUGGGGAAUGUUGCACAAUGGGGGAAACCCUGAUGCAGCGACGCCGCGUGAGUGAAGAAGUAUUUCGGUAUGUAAAGCUCUAUCAGCAGGGAAGAAAAUGACGGUACCUGAGUAAGAAGCCCCGGCUAACUACGUG
This 478-nucleotide ribosomal RNA is filed under the name uncultured bacterium. RNAcentral's name for it is "partial 16S ribosomal RNA". It matches the Rfam family "Bacterial small subunit ribosomal RNA", at positions 28 to 507 of the family's 1533-position model. The record is from RNAcentral.